CCUACGGGUGGCAGCAGUGAGGAAUAUUGGUCAAUGGGCGGAAGCCUGAACCAGCCAAGUCGCGUGAGGGAUUAAGGCCCUGCGGGUCGUAAACCUCUUUUGCCGGGGAGCAGAGGUCCGGACGUGUCCGGGCCGGGAGAGUACCCGGAGAAAAAGCAUCGGCUAACUCCGUGCCAGCAGCCGCGGUAAUACGGGGGUUGCGAGCGUUAUCGGGAUUUAUUGGGUUUAAAGGGUGCGUAGGCGGGCAUUUAAGCCGGCGGUCAAAUGUCGGGGCUCAACCCCGGCCUGCCGUCGGAACUGGGUGCCUUGAGUGGGCGAGAAGUAUGCGGAAUGCGUGGUGUAGCGGUGAAAUGCAUAGAUAUCACGCAGAACCCCGAUUGCGAAGGCAGCAUACCGGCGCCCUACUGACGCUGAUGCACGAAAGCGCGGGUAUCGAACAGGAUUAGAUACCCUGGUAGUC
RNAcentral lists this ribosomal RNA (460 nucleotides) under uncultured bacterium. Its description in RNAcentral is "partial 16S ribosomal RNA". It matches the Rfam family "Bacterial small subunit ribosomal RNA", at positions 338 to 795 of the family's 1533-position model. The record is from RNAcentral.